Molecule: transfer RNA, 51 nt
Filed under: Plagiorhynchus transversus
Lineage: Eukaryota; Metazoa; Acanthocephala; Palaeacanthocephala; Polymorphida; Plagiorhynchidae
Description: tRNA-Gln
Source: RNAcentral
UGGACAUCUAGUUGACGUGUAGAAAAAUUUGGUUUUUCGUAGAAAGUCAAU